RNAcentral lists this ribosomal RNA (252 nucleotides) under uncultured bacterium. Its description in RNAcentral is "partial 16S ribosomal RNA". It matches the Rfam family "Bacterial small subunit ribosomal RNA", at positions 524 to 776 of the family's 1533-position model. The record is from RNAcentral.
UACGUAGGGUGCAAGCGUUGUCCGGAAUUAUUGGGCGUAAAGAGCUCGUAGGCGGUCUGUCGCGUCGGAUGUGAAAAUCAGGGCUCAACCCUGGACCUGCAUUCGAUACGGGCAGACUAGAGUUCGGUAGGGGAGACUGGAAUUCCUGGUGUAGCGGUGAAAUGCGCAGAUAUCAGGAGGAACACCGGUGGCGAAGGCGGGUCUCUGGGCCGAUACUGACGCUGAGGAGCGAAAGCGUGGGGAGCGAACAGG